UCAAAUGGAGGUGGUUGGUAUGGCCAAU
Molecule: small RNA, 28 nt
Filed under: Bombyx mori (domestic silkworm)
Lineage: Eukaryota; Metazoa; Arthropoda; Insecta; Lepidoptera; Bombycidae
Description: ovarian small RNA-24500
Source: RNAcentral